GUGCCAGCAGCCGCGGUAAUACAGAGGGGGCAAGCGUUAUUCGGAAUUAUUGGGCGUAAAGGGCGCGUAGGCGGCUUCGCAAGUGGAUGGUGAAAUCCCUCGGCUCAACCGAGGAACUGCCGUCCAAACUGCGUGGCUUGAGUCCGGGAGAGGUGAGUGGAAUUCCCAGUGUAGCGGUGAAAUGCGUAGAUAUUGGGAGGAACACCAGUGGCGAAGGCGGCUCACUGGACCGGAACUGACGCUGAGGCGCGAAAGCGUGGGGAGCAAACGGGAUUAGAAACCCCGGUAGUCC
RNAcentral lists this ribosomal RNA (292 nucleotides) under uncultured bacterium. RNAcentral's name for it is "partial 16S ribosomal RNA". It matches the Rfam family "Bacterial small subunit ribosomal RNA", at positions 505 to 796 of the family's 1533-position model. The record is from RNAcentral.